Molecule: ribosomal RNA, 492 nt
Filed under: uncultured bacterium
Lineage: Bacteria
Description: partial 16S ribosomal RNA
Rfam family: Bacterial small subunit ribosomal RNA
Source: RNAcentral
AGUGAACGCUGGCGGUAGGCCUAACACAUGCAAGUCGAACGGCAGCACAGUAAGAGCUUGCUCUUACGGGUGGCGAGUGGCGGACGGGUGAGGAAUACAUCGGAAUCUACUUUUUCGUGGGGAAUAACGUAGGGAAACUUACGCUAAUACCGCAUACGACCUACGGGUGAAAGCAGGGGAUCUUCGGACCUUGCGCGAUUGGAUGAGCCGAUGUCGGAUUAGCUAGUUGGCGGGGUAAAGGCCCACAAAGGCGACGAUCCGUAGCUGGUCUGAGAGGAUGAUCAGCCACACUGGAACUGAGACACGGUCCAGACUCCUACGGGAGGCAGCAGUGGGGAAUAUUGGACAAUGGGCGCAAGCCUGAUCCAGCCAUACCGCGUGGGUGAAGAAGGCCUUCGGGUUGUAAAGCCCUUUUGUUGGGAAAGAAAAGCAGCAGGUUAAUACCCCGCUGUUCUGACGGUACCCAAAGAAUAAGCACCGGCUAACUUCGUG